AUACUUCCCUAGUAGGGGAGAUCCUAUGAUCGUGGGGUGGUUUUCCUAGGGCAAGGCUUAUCCUUUGUGCUCUGGGUGUGCUGACCCUGGUGAUUUCUCCAAUGGUGGGAAACUCAACUGCAUAAUUUGUUGAAGUGAAGGGACUGCAUUUGUGCUCUCUCCUG
Small nuclear RNA from Sorex fumeus (smoky shrew), 164 nucleotides. RefSeq annotates it as U1 spliceosomal RNA. The record is from RefSeq and is a predicted model, not a curated record. NCBI's taxonomy places the organism in Eukaryota, Metazoa, Chordata, Mammalia, Eulipotyphla, Soricidae. The transcript has a single exon.